RNA transcript from Lathyrus oleraceus (garden pea), 20067 nucleotides. RefSeq lists it as uncharacterized. The transcript has 5 exons. Lineage: Eukaryota; Viridiplantae; Streptophyta; Magnoliopsida; Fabales; Fabaceae. The record is from RefSeq and is a predicted model, not a curated record.
UUUAAUGAAUCUUCCAAACCAUGCUCGUGGCGAUUGCUUUAACCCAUAUAAAGAUUUUUUAAACUUGCAAACGGUGUUGGUGGUAGUAUGUUCAUGGAACCCAAGAGGUAUAUCUAUAUAGAUUUUUUCUUCAAGUUCACCAUGAAGGAAUGCAUUCUUCACAUCAAAUUGAUUUAAGUUCCAAUUACAAUUAGCUGCUAAAGAUAAUAUCACCCUAUCUGUAUUCAUUUUUGCAACUGGAGCAAAUGUCUUUGAAUAAUCUACUCCAUAGGUUCGAGUGAAUUCUUUGGCUACUAAUCUUGUCUUGUACCUCUCAAUCGAUACAUUUGCCUUGUAUUUAAUAAUGUAUACCCACUUGCACCCUACAUGUUUCUUUCCAUUUGGUAAAGAAACCAAUUCCCAAGUAAUGUUCUUUCCAGUGCCUCCAUCUUCAAAUCCAUGGCUUGUUUCCAUUUCCUGUCAAGACAAUGCCUUAGAUAGAGAGGUAGGUAGUUUUAUAAUGUUCAGAUUUGUAAGGAAGGCUUUAUGGAUAGGUGAAACGUGUUCAAAACUUAGGUAGUUGGAUAAAAGGUAAAAUGGUUGUUUGGUACAGUUUUCUUCCCAUAUCUUAUAUAUUUUUUUCAGAAUCACGUUCAUUUUCAAGAGUAAGGUUAGGAAGUAUAAGGGACUCAUCUUCCUUAUUUAUGCUCUCCCCCUGAAUAUGAGUUUGAAUAAAGUAACUUUCUUGUUCAUGGAAAGUAACGUCUCGAGAGACAAAGAACUUGUGUGACAGUGGAUGAUAACAUUUGUAACCUUUUUGGGUGGAAGAAUAUCCUAUAAAGACACACUUUAAGGCUUUAGGAUCAAGUUUUCCUCUACCAUCACUAUGAAUAUGCACGAACGAUGUACAAUAUCCUAAGAGUGAGGUUACUAGAGGUAGACACAUUAGGAUAGAACGAGGAUAAGACUUCCAUAGGAGUUUUGGAAGCAAGGACACUAGAAGGCAAACAAUUUAUGAGAUAUGAUGCAGUUAAGACUGCCUCUCCCCAAUAUUUCUUCGGAACUUUAUUUUGAAAUAUCAUAGCACGUGUUUGGUCUAACAAAUGCUAUUUUUUCUUUCAGCAAUGCCAUUUUGUUUAGGUGUUUUAACGCAUGAAGACUCAUGAAUGAUACCUUCAUUUUGACACAAAGAAUUAAGAUUAUGAUUAAAAUAAUCCUUGGCAUUAUCAUACUGAAUCCUUAUAAUACUCUUACCAAUUUGAUUUCUAACCAUAGAGAGAAAUUGAGGAGCCACAUGAUUAACUUCAGAUUUUUGCUUAAGUAGACCCAAGUAACCCGAGUACAAUCAUCAAUAAAGGUGAUAAACCAGCGGGCACAUGAAAUAUUUGGAAUAUUAGAUUGAACCCACGCAUUUGUAUGAACUAGAUAAAACGGAAAAAUACUCAUUUUAUUACUAAUGUAGAAAGGUACACGCUUGUGUUUAGUAAGCUCACACACCUCAUAGUGAAGACUCUCAACAUCUAAUGUUUUAAAUAAAACAAGAAAUAACUGCUUAAUGACUCUAAACGAAAGAUGACCCAGGCGAUGAUGGUAUAAGAGAACCUUCUCCCUAUUGGUCUUUAUUUGAUUAUGACAAAAACGAAUUGCUGCUGAGAAAAUAUGGGUUUGAAUCUUUGUUAUCCAAGUAGUAAAGACCAUUCCAUUCUCUAGCACUUCCAAUCGUCCUCUCCAAAUUCUUGUCUUGAAAAACACAAGAGUUAUUAUAGAAAAUAACAUUACAUGAUACUGUAGCACCUCAAAUUUGCACCUAUCAUUAUGCAUACAUUUUCAUAUUAGGUCAUAGCAUAUCAUGAUCCAUUGCAUAGCAUUUGCAUUGUCCCUCAGUUGCCUCAAGAGCAAGCAAUCAAGAAUUAGGUCAAACUAAUCUCCUGAUCAGUCAACCAAGCAAGCAAAGGAAUUUCUCAUUGAAUCAAGGCCUUGGGGUUUGUCCAACAAGUUCACAUGGCUUGGAGGUCUAUUUGAAGUAUUUUGGUCAAGGGUUGAGGGCUCAGAGGUCAGCAGUUCAUGCCCAGACAGUCAAAAGUCAAAGAAGGUCAACUGUCAGUCAAAGCAAUGGAUGGUGGUCAUUCUUGUGGAAUUAGGGCACCAUGGUCAAUAAUCAAGAGUUCAUACAACUUGGGACAUCAUUUGAAGUCAAGUCCUCAAGGAAUCAGGGUUUGGAAAUCAUCAGUCAAUGCACGAUCAGUCAGAAACCCUAAAAGUCAACUGUUGGUCAACUGUCCAUUUAAUCAGUGAUUGGAUGAUUGGAUUUGGUUUGUGGGAGUUCAUUCAUGUCCAAAUGGUCAUCAUACAUCAUGCCAAACACCAUCAUGGAAGAAUUUGAAGCCAGAUCAUGAAUUUCCCAAAGUAGGAACUGGGCCUGUAACUGAAACUUGCCAUAAAUGGAAAGUUUUGAUCCUCAAACUUACAUCAUGAUACAAGCCUCAAAUGAAUUUUUGCCCAACAUGAAAGUUGAAGAUCUUGUUCUCCCAUUUCCAAAAAGUCCUAGAACUCUCAAUUCCCAUGUGUGGUUGGCAAGUUAUGAUCAAAUCGAUUUCAGAAAAUCUUGAACUUCAAAGGGCCAUAUCUCCCAAACCGUUUGGCCAAAUUUGGUGGGGUUUUUUCCUACAAACCACAUUUUUCAUCCUCUUUCCAAAAAUAUAAAUUUCAUGACCUAAAACCUUACCAAUCAAAAUGGCAUUUUUGGACUUUUUUCAUUUAAAUUCAAAGUUUGACCAAGAGUUGACUUUUUGACUCAAACAUUUUUUCAGCAUUUGGCCAAUUGGGACAGCUUAUAAAUGUCAUUUAGAAGGUGUUUGCAAGGUCAAAUUAUGCAGAACAUGUGAAUCUUGUUUGGUUGCUUGAAUUGUAAGAAAAGUACCAUUGCACCAUACUUGUCCAUGCCUUGCCUCGUACCUCAAAAGGACAGCAUUAUGCAGCAACUUUUCUGUCAUGGUGAGCCUAUUUUGCAGCCUAAACCAACAACAGUAAAGGGCCAUGCUUAGUUGCUAAAAGUUGGGCAAAAGUACAUGUGUUUACCAUGCUUCCACAACCAUACUUGUACCAUGGCCAUGAUAGCUUUAAGGAUUUUCCUUUUCUGCAGUAGCAACACAGCAGGGACCAUUCCUUUCACUCAUCAAUAGAUUUUGAACCUUGGCCAUUCUUCACUAAUGCAUUGGUACACAAGCCAUAUUGGAUUUCCAUUUUGCUGUCAAAAACAUCUCUGUCAUAAAAGACCAAGGGAGCCUCACAAAUUAUUUUGGGCCAAAGCAAAUUGAUUGUGCACUCUCACUCUAAAAAACACACAUUGCAUGCCAUUUUCUGUCGACAAACAUAACAACCACACUGCAUACAACUCUCACUCAAAAGAUCCACUUCACCUUGGCCAUUGGGAAAGGAACUGUCAAGCAUCCAACAGUAGGGGCAUUACCAUGCUUGGUACUGCUCAUAGCAGACCAAGGCAAUAACUUGCUGGCACUAAUAGCAGCAAUUGGCAUCACACAAACCCCUUUGACAUUUCUCUUCAAAAACAAGGACCAGUACCAUGUCGUGUACUAUGCAGAAUUGAGGCCACUCUUCCUGUCGUGACAGUAGUGGCAAUAGGGGCAGCAUGGCACAAAAACCACUGAGCCAAGGCAAUUGUUAGGGACAUGCUGAUUUCAAGGAACUUUGCCUUGUCUUCACAAUCCUGCCACCAUACUGCAGCAGGCAAAAAGGAGACUUUUGGCAAAUUGCUCAAAACCAAAAAAAAACUGCUACAGCAGCACAAGACCAAACACCUUGGCAAUGACACCUGGCUGUGCAAUUCAGAGAGGACCAUACCACCAUACUGCAGCAGCAAUUGGCAUCAGAAAAAGCCACUUGGCCAAGGCAAAGAAAAAGGCAUGCUGAUUGAAACAAAAACACUUGGCAACAAAAGAACAAAAACUAACAUUGGGCAUCUGAUUUUUCUUCUAUCCAAAACCAUUAGCAGAAAAAAACAUUUUUUCACUCAUUCUAAAAAAGAUCUCAUCCUUGCCUUGCUUCAUGACACGACUUCCUUACCAUGUGCUGCAAGGAGAUGAAACCUAGCAGACCAACAAAAGGUCAACUGAUGCAAAAACAGGUUUGCUUGGCAUUUGGCAAGAUAGCAAGUGCUGUUUAAAAGUCACAAUAGCAGUUUCUAACAGCAGAAUUGAAAGAGAAAAACUGUUAAAAUUCAUGACCACAACAAGCAACAUAGCACUGCAGCAGAUUUUUUUUGAUUCACCUCACCUUGCUUGUGUAUUUUCUGCCAAAACCUCAUCCAUUCCAAACCCCUGCACCUACUCCCUCAUUUUUAACCUUGGCCUUGGCAUAUCACUCUUUCUGUCAAAAACAAGUGGACCAAAAAACCUAACUUGCUGGUAUUGCAUUCCUAUUUCUUCCUGUCCAACUCAGAACAUUGCCUUGCCAACCAUGACAGUUUGGUUCACCUCUAUUUUGCAUCACUUCUAAACUUUGCCAACAUAACUAAACCUAACCUGCCUUGCAUUUUCUAAAAGCUGUCCAAGCACAAGUGGACCAAACAUCAUCAAACCAACAUGACCUAACCUCAUUCAUACAGGCUCAUCCCACUUGCAUUAACCAACAAAAUCUAACCAAUUUCCUACAAUCUCUAAAACCACCUAACUGCGUUUUGGCCAUUUCUUCACAAACCUGUCCCAAAAACUCAAUGAGCAAAAAGCUUGGCCAUGCCUAGUUUCAUAUCCCAUUUGCAUUUACCAAAACCACCAACCAAACCAGAAAAUCUCAUUGAUACACAUACAUAUCCUUGGCCUUUUCUUCCAAAAAACUGCUAACAAACCAAUAGAACAAACUCACCAUUGCAAAAAUUCAUUUUCUACUCCAAAAUCCAAAUUUUCAAAAAUUAUAUUUUCCCCAAGUCCCUUGCAAACCAUCCAUUCAAACACCUUCCAUAUAACAAGUAGAAGCUAUUGUAGGCAGAAAAUCCCAUCUGUAAUCAUUAAAUCAUCAUAUCCAAAUUUCAAGUCUUCACACUUGCAACUUGAAUUGGCUAGAACAGUUGAGGAGGUUUCAAGGCAAACUCUCAAAGGCAUUACAUUCCUGGAGCAUCAAAGGAGCUAAAGGGAUCAUCUAGCAUCAUUAAAAGCACCUCUAACAUCACAUUCAACAUUGCCCUGUUCAGGUUAGCAACUUGCUUUCGAAUUGCUUGAUAGAAUGGUUUUCAUGACUUGAUGUGUGAAUGAGAAAUGCUGUAUUCAACCCCCUGAACAUGAUUGAAUGCUUACUUUUAUCCAAUUUUGCUUAUGUGUGAUUUUGAGUUUUGCUGCUAGGGAGUUAGGGUUUCGGUGUUCACCACGAAGUAUCUUUGUGCACAAUGCACCAUUUUGAAAUUCAUGACCAUGGUUGUUUUGAGCACAUGAAAUAGAUGAACAUUGGUUUUUAUUUCAUUUGAUUUCGUUCACUAUAGAGGAAGAUAUAUGUUUCUAAAGUUUGAAAAAUAUAGUUGUUUGUGGAGAUGGAGGUGAUGCCAGGGCGCGCGCGUUUCAGUUUUUGAAUUAUUUGUUUUGUUUAUCUUGACUUGGAAGCAGGCUUAUGUCACCAAGUGACUCACAGCCCAGUGGUGGGCGCGCUGAGUUGCAUUGCCAAGGGGAGGGGUUCGAAUCCCAUCUCCCCCAUUUGUGUUUUUUCUUUUGAGAAAAAGGUUUUUUUUUUAAGGUUUUCUUUUAGAACUUCCAUUUUUGAUUUUCGUCUUUUGAUUUUAUUUUAUUUAACAUAGAAUAAAUAUGUGAGCAUGAAAAUGCCAAAAAACAUGAAUGUUUGACUUUGUUGACUUUUUAGACCAUUUUGUGAAUCUAUCCCGAUUUUAUGAGUUCUAUUAAUUAAAUGUCAUCUUGUGCGUUUCAUGUGUUUAUUCCGAUCUUUCCAAACCUGGGAUUUUUGUGUGAAAUCAAUGUAGGGUAGGAACAUGUCCCCUUAGACACUUAGGGUAACCUUUCACACAAUGCUCGAUUUAAUUUUGACAAAGUCCCGAUUAAAUGUUUUUGACCUCAUAAACCUGUCCAAAUGGGAUGAAAUUUGACAUGCUUACCAUGCUAUGUGUUAGGUUUGAUCAUGAUUUAUUUGAUGAUUUUUGGAAAAUGUUUAGAUUGCUUUUGAGUUAAGUCUUUCUGUUGACUUCUAUGAGCUUCUGUUUGCCAUGUUUUGACCUAAAUGGUUCAUGAAAUGAUGAUAGUGAUUGAUAUGAGUGUGAAUCUAAUUGGUUGUGUUUCCUAAUGGUUUGAACAUGAUUUUGGAUACUUGCCCCUUGCUGUUUGGACUUUCUCAUUCACUUUUGACCCUAGGCUUGCCCUAGUGGUCCUGCUACUCACCUUUGAGUUUGUAAUUUCAGGUUGACCAUCAAAUGGCCAUUAAGACCAAUUCUUUUGAUUGAGCUUAUCCAAGCAUCAUUGCCUAACCUCUUUGUUUUGUAGGUGGCUUGGCUCACAUGCCAUAAGCCUUGUGCCUUGCACAUCCAUGUGCCUCCAAUUGACUGUUGGUUUCUGUUUCUGUUUGUUUUGUUUGAAGUUGCAUACUAACAUCUGCUUGACUGUUUCAGGUGCUUUAGUUGCUUAGUUCCUUGUGAACUUUUUGCUUUGCUUUGCUUGUAUAAGCAAUUUGCAUUGAGGCAGGAUAGCUGAUCAACGUCCGCACCGCUACUUAACAAGACUGAAUCGACAGAGAAGUAUGGAUCAAUUUCAAGCUGAGUUGGCUGAGAUGAAGGCUAGCAUGGCCCAGUUUAUGAAUAUGAUGCAAGGGGUUGCACAAGGUCAAGAGGAGCUCCGAGCUAUGGUUCAGAGACAAGAGGCUGCAAAUCCACCGAUCAACCAUGCUCCGCCAGAGGGAGGCCCGGUCAAUGAUAACAAUAUUGCUGCUGCUGUACCCGUCAACAACUACGCUGUAGGUGAUGAGUUGGGGGGUAUUCGAAUCAACGGUCAACCUAUUGUUCCAGAUGCCGCUAAUGCCAGAGUAGUCCGUGCUCCGGCCCGUAAUCCUGCUACGAUUGUUGACAGACAAGAGGAUAUGUUCUCUCUGCUCAGUGAAGACGAAGACAUUCUAGGAAGGGUUAAUGAGAGAGAUCGUAAGGUUGAAGCUCUUGCUGAGAAGAUUCGUGCUAUGGAAAGUCAAAAUUCUCUCGGUUUUGAUGUCACCAAUAUGGGGUUGGUUGAAGGUUUGAGAAUCCCUCACAAGUUCAAAGCGCCGUCCUUCGACAAAUACAACGGUACUUCUUGCCCUCGCACCCAUGUGCAGGCUUACUACAGGAAAAUCUCUGCGUAUACCGAUGAUGAAAAGAUGUGGAUGUAUUUCUUCCAAGAUAGUCUAUCUGGGGCUUCUUUGGACUGGUACAUGGAAUUGAAGAGAGAUUCGAUCCGAUGCUGGAGAGAUCUGGGUGAGGCCUUCUUGAGGCAGUACAAACACAACAUGGAUAUGCCGCCUAGCCGGACUCAGCUGCAGAGUCUAUGUCAGAAAUCCGGAGAAAGCUUCAAGGAGUAUGCUCAGAGGUGGCGUGAACUGGCUGCUAGAGUUCAACCCCCUAUGCUGGAGAGGGAGUUGACGGAUAUGUUUAUCGGUACUCUUCAAGGUGUGUUUAUGGACCGGAUGGGGAGCUGCCCGUUCGGUAGUUUUUCUGAUGUUGUCAUUUGUGGAGAGAGGACUGAGAGUCUAAUCAAAGCUGGUAGGAUCCAUGAUGCUGGUUCCUCGUCUUCAUUAAAGAAACCCUUCUCUGGGGCACCUCGCCGUAGAGAAGGAGAGACCAAUGCUGUACAGCACAGAGGGGGUGUGUACAGAACAAAUGCUAACAGAGAUCAAUAUCGUCCAGUAGCUGCAGUGACUAUUCCGGCACCUCAACCUCGUCAACAACAACAACCAAGAGUUCAACAACCGCAGCAACAACAACAACAGCAGCGUCCUUAUCAGCCCAGACAGAAAUUGCAGGCUGAUAGAAGAUUUGAUCCUUUGCCCAUGUCUUACACAGAAUUAUUACCCGAACUACUCAAGUUGGGGAUGAUUGGGUUGCGUACAAUGGCUCCGCCUACAGUGCUGCCUCCCGGCUAUGAUGCUAAUGUUAGAUGUGACUUUCAUUCUGGGGCACCAGGCCACCAUACUGAGAAGUGUCGAGCUCUCCAGCACAAGGUUCAAGAUUUGAUCGAUGCCAAGGCGAUCAACUUCGCUCCAGUGCCUAACGUCGUGAACAACCCUAUGCCUCAGCAUGGUGGGCAUAGAGUGAACAAUAUUGAGGGGAAAGAAGCUGAAGAUCUGGUUGUUAAUGUUGAUGAUGUUCAGACUUCUCUGCUAGUCGUGAAGGGUCGUCUGCUGAAGGGGGGUGUCUACCCGGGCUGUGAUGAAAAUUGUUUGGGCUGUGCAGAAUCUGAGAAUGGUUGCGACCAGUUGAGGACCGGUAUCCAGGGUAUGAUGGAUGAAGGUUGUUUGCAAUUCAGUAGGGCUGUAAAGGAUCGUGGAACAGCGUCAACUAUCACCAUUUACUUUAAACCGUCUGAGGAACGUGGACAAAGGAUUGUCAGUGCACCCGCAACGAAUGGUACCCCAGUUACCAUUCCCGUGCCUGUAACCAUCAGUGUUCCGACUACUACCGUGGCGUCUGGAAGAAGGGUUGUUGAGAAUAGUAGAGCUGUGCCGUGGAAGUAUGAUAAUGCUCACCGCAAUUACAGAAGGGCUGAAAGUCAGACAAGACCAGUGAAUCAAGCUCUAGUGACAAUUGGUUUACCGAAUAGAGUUCCUGCAACUGUUGGUCCGGCUGUGGAUAAUGUAGGGGGUCCAGGAGGUUUUACCAGAAGCGGUCGUCUGUUCGCACCGCAGCCUUUGAGGGACAAUAAUGCUGAAGCUCUCGCCAGAGCAAAGGGUAAGCAAGCUGUAGUUGAGGAAGAGCCUGUCCAGAAAGAAGCGCCCGAGGGGUCAUUUGAGAAGGAUGUGGAGGAGUUCAUGAAGAUAAUCAAGAAAAGUGACUACAAGAUUGUGGAUCAGUUGAAUCGGACUCCGUCCAAGAUCUCUAUACUUUCACUAUUGAUGUGCUCUGAGGCACACCGUAAUGCCUUGCUGAAGAUGUUGAAUCUGGCUUACGUGCCUCAAGAGAUUUCUGUCAAUCAACUGGAGGGUGUGAUGGCCAAUGUGAGCACCAGACAUGGUGUAGGUUUCACCAACCUGGACUUACCACCUGAAGGGCGAAACCAUAACAAAGCCUUGCACAUUACCAUGGAGUGCAAGGGGGCAGUGUUGUCUCACGUAUUGGUAGACACUGGGUCGUCGCUGAAUGUGUUGCCUAAGCAGAUUCUGAGGAAGAUUGAUGCGGAAGGGUUUGUGCUCAAUCCCAGUGACCUGAUCGUUCGUGCUUUCGACGGAUCCAAACGUUCUGUGUGUGGAGAAGUUACCUUGCCUGUGAAGAUAGGUCCUGAGGUUUUUGAUAUCAUCUUCUAUGUUAUGGACAUCCAGCCUGCCUAUAGUUGUUUGUUGGGGCGUCCAUGGAUUCAUGCAGCAGGGGCAGUCUCGUCGACUCUCCAUCAGAAGCUCAAGUAUGUCUGGAACGGUCAGAUUGUGACUGUGUGCGGUGAAGAAGAGAUUCUGGUGAGUCAUCUGUCCUCGUUCAAAUAUGUUGAGGUGGAUGGCGAGAUCCACGAAACUUUAUGCCAGGCGUUUGAGACUGUGGCUCUUGAGAAAGUGGCGUACGCUGAGCAGAGGAAGCCAGGUGCUUCAAUCACUUCUUACAAGCAGGCUAAGGAGGUCGUUGACUCUGGCAAAACUGAAGGCUGGGGCAAGAUGGUGGAUUUGCCGGUUAAAGAAGACAAAUUUGGUGUUGGUUAUGAGCCUCUCCUAGCAGAGCAGAAUGGUCAAGCGGGUCCGAGUACCUUUACCAGCGCUGGGCUGAUGAAUCAUGGCGACGUCUCUGCAACCAGUAGUGAAGACUGUGACAGUGACUGUAAUCUGGACAACUGGGUUCGCCCGUGUGCACCAGGGGGGUCUAUCAACAACUGGACGGCUGAAGAAGUGGUUCAAGUUACUCUUCUGACAGAAAGCGAUCUUAUGGCAUCCACUAUGAACAGUCCUGUUAUGGCUCAGUAUGAUUUCGAUAAUCCCAUCUACCAAGCUGAAGAGGAGAGUGAGGAAGACUGUGAACUCCCUGCAGAAUUGGCCAGGUUACUGAAGCAGGAGGAAAGGGUCAUCCAACCUCAUCAGGAGGAGUUGGAAACUGUUAAUUUGGGUACUGAGGACGCCAAAAAGGAAAUUAAGAUUGGGGCUGCUUUAGAAGACUCUGUCAAGAGGAGGCUGAUUGAGAUGCUGAAAGAAUAUGUGGAAGUGUUCGCCUGGUCGUAUCAAGAUAUGCCUGGGUUAGAUACAGACAUUGUGAUGCACCGAUUACCUCUUAGAGAAGGAUGUCCUUCGGUCAAGCAGAAGCUUCGUAGAACGAGUCCUGACAUGGCAACUAAGAUCAAGGAAGAGGUUCAGAAGCAGUGGGAUGCGGGUUUUCUGGCUGUCACCAGUUAUCCACCGUGGGUGGCCAACAUCGUUCCUGUGCCGAAGAAGGAUGGUAAAGUCAGAAUGUGUGUCGAUUACCGGGAUUUGAACAGAGCAAGUCCGAAAGAUGAUUUCCCAUUACCUCACAUUGAUGUAUUGGUUGAUAAUACGGCUCAAUCCUCGGUAUUCUCUUUCAUGGAUGGUUUCUCCGGAUAUAAUCAGAUCAAGAUGGCGCCAGAGGAUAUGGAAAAGACGACAUUCAUUACACCUUGGGGCACGUUCUGCUAUAAGGUGAUGCCAUUUGGACUAAAGAAUGCUGGUGCUACCUAUCAGAGGGCAAUGACGACUCUCUUUCAUGACAUGAUGCACAAGGAAAUCGAAGUAUACGUAGAUGAUAUGAUUGCGAAGUCGCAGACAGAAGAGGAGCACCUGGUUAAUUUGCAGAAGCUGUUUGACCGGUUGAGAAAGUUCAAGCUGAGGUUGAAUCCGAACAAGUGUACGUUUGGGGUGAGAUCAGGGAAGCUUUUAGGCUUCAUUGUCAGCGAGAAAGGGAUUGAGGUUGAUCCAGCAAAAGUCAAAGCUAUUCAAGAGAUGCCUGAACCGAAAACGGAGAAGCAAGUCCGUGGGUUUUUAGGGAGGUUGAACUACAUUGCAAGGUUCAUAUCUCAUCUAACUGCUACAUGUGAACCGAUUUUCAAACUGCUUAGAAAGAAUCAAGCAAUCAAGUGGAAUGAUGAUUGUCAGAAAGCUUUUGACAAGAUUAAGGAGUAUUUGCAGAAACCUCCGAUCCUUAUACCUCCAGUUCCAGGGAGACCUCUGAUAAUGUACCUGUCAGUGACUGAGAACUCGAUGGGGUGUGUAUUGGGACAGCAUGACGAGUCUGGUCGAAAAGAGCAUGCCAUAUACUACCUUAGCAAAAAGUUUACCGACUGUGAAACAAGAUAUUCACUGCUCGAGAAAACUUGCUGUGCUUUGGCCUGGGCUGCUCGCCGACUAAGACAGUAUAUGUUGAACCAUACCACUUUGUUGAUUUCUAAGAUGGAUCCAGUGAAGUACAUCUUUGAGAAACCAGCUCUCACCGGACGUGUUGCCCGUUGGCAGAUGAUUCUAACAGAGUAUGACAUUCAGUACACGUCACAGAAGGCCAUCAAAGGUAGUAUUCUGUCAGACUACCUCGCCGAGCAACCGAUUGAAGAUUAUCAGCCUAUGAUGUUUGAAUUCCCUGACGAAGACAUCAUGUAUCUGAAGAUGAAAGAUUGCGAAGAGCCUCUCGUCGAGGAAGGACCGGACCCGGAUGACAAAUGGACACUGAUGUUUGAUGGGGCUGUGAAUAUGAAUGGUAACGGUGUUGGGGCAGUAUUGAUCAAUCCUAAAGGUGCUCAUAUACCUUUUUCUGCCAGACUGACGUUUGACGUCACCAACAACGAAGCUGAGUAUGAGGCUUGUAUCAUGGGGAUAGAAGAAGCCAUUGAUCUGAGGAUCAAAACACUUGACAUAUUUGGAGAUUCAGCUCUAGUGGUCAAUCAAGUCAAUGGAGAUUGGAAUACGAAUCAGCCGCAUUUGAUUCCAUAUAGAGAUUACACCAGAAGAAUACUAACGUUCUUCAAGAAAGUGAAAUUGUAUCAUGUCCCCCGGGAUGAGAAUCAGAUGGCUGAUGCCUUGGCUACUUUGUCAUCUAUGAUCAAAGUUCAUUGGUGGAAUCAUGUGCCACAUGUUGCGGUGAAUCGACUUGAGAGGCCUGCGUAUGUGUUCGCAGCCGAGUCUGUUGCUAUUGAUGAGAAGCCAUGGUAUUAUGACAUCAAGAAUUUCCUCAAGACUCAAGAGUAUCCUGAAGGUGUGUCUAAGAAUGACAAGAAAACCCUGAGGAGGCUAGCUGGAAGCUUCUAUUUGAAUCAGGAUGAUGUGUUGUAUAAGAGAAACUUUGACAUGGUCUUGCUCAGAUGCGUGGACAGGCCCGAGGCAGACAUGUUAAUGCAAGAAGUGCACGAGGGUUCGUUUGGUACCCAUGCUGGUGGUCAUGCAAUGUCGAAGAAAUUGCUGAGAGCUGGUUAUUACUGGAUGACUAUGGAAUCCGAUUGUUUCAAGUAUGCUCGGAAGUGCCAUAAGUGUCAAAUCUAUGCUGACAAGGUGCACGUACCACCAAGCCCUCUGAAUAUCAUGAAUUCGCCUUGGCCGUUUGCCAUGUGGGGCAUUGAUAUGAUUGGGAAGAUUGAGCCUACUGCUUCGAAUGGACAUCGCUUCAUCCUGGUUGCGAUUGACUAUUUCACCAAAUGGGUAGAAGCAGCUUCUUAUGCUAACGUUACCAAACAAGUGGUUACCCGGUUCAUCAAGAAAGAAAUCAUCUGUCGCUACGGAGUUCCUGAGAGAAUCAUCACUGACAAUGGUUCGAAUCUCAACAACAAGAUGAUGAAAGAGCUUUGUAAAGAUUUCAAGAUUGAACAUCACAAUUCUUCUCCUUACAGACCAAAGAUGAAUGGUGCUGUAGAGGCAGCAAACAAGAAUAUCAAGAAGAUUGUGCAGAAGAUGGUCGUUACGUACAAGGAUUGGCAUGAGAUGCUGCCUUUCGCUUUGCAUGGGUACCGUACCUCAGUACGUACGUCGACCGGGGCAACCCCUUACUCCCUUGUGUAUGGUAUGGAAGCUGUCCUACCUGUUGAAGUGGAGAUUCCUUCUCUGAGAGUUUUAUUGGAUGUCAAGCUGGACGAAGCCGAGUGGAUUCGAACAAGGUUUAACGAGUUGAGCCUUAUCGAGGAGAGACGACUAGCAGCUGUAUGUCAUGGACAGUUGUAUCAGAGAAGGAUGAAGCGAGCCUUUGAUCAGAAAGUGCGUCCUCGAAGCUAUCAGAUCGGUGAUCUAGUUUUGAAAAGGAUCCUCCCUCCCGGUACAGAUAACAGGGGCAAGUGGACUCCUAAUUACGAAGGUCCGUAUGUUGUGAAGAAGGUCUUCUCCGGUGGAGCCUUGAUGCUUACAACUAUGGAUGGUGAAGAUUUUCCGUCUCCUGUCAACUCAGAUGUAGUCAAAAAAUACUUCGCAUAAAUUGACCCGCUGGACAAAAAGAAAAAAAGAGUCCAGGCAAAAAUGGGCAUCCCGGCGAACCAAAAAAAAAAAACAGAAAGAAAAGGUUCGGGCAAAAAUUAGGGAUAAAAAUGAAAAAUUCGUACACCCGGUAAGUCGAAAACCCGCAAGGGCGGCUUAGGCAAAAAUGGGUAUCCCGGUGGAUUGAAAACCCGAAAGGGCGAUCCAGGCAAAAGUUAGGGAUUAAAGCGAAGACUACAGUCUGAGUUGUCUGUACUUCAUCAAGCUUUGUCAUCCGCCAUCCCGAAAGAUGUGAUCCGUCCAGUCAUUCUUCUCAGAAAGCAAGGAGUUGGGAGGAAAACUGAUGAUCUGUGAGUUAUAACAGAAUUGGGAAAUAGUGGAUGUCGUGUUCACAUUGCCAUUAGGAUAGAUUUUUUCUUUUAUGCGCAAUUACCUCUUUCUAGGAAUUGCUUCCUAAUGUAUUUGCCUCUUCAGGCACAUUUUCAAUCAAUAAAAAAUCGUUAUUCAGAUAAAUAGCUCUUGUUUUUAUUUUUACUGUUUUGUUUACAAAAUGUCCGAAUUUUUGAUAAGCAUUGCAUAUAAAAAACAUGGAGGCUAAACAAUAGCUUGCAGAAGAUAAAACAUUUGAAAAUCAUUUUGAAUGGUGAGGACACUUGAGCGUAUCUUGUCCAUGUACCCCCUGGGGGCAUUUUGUUGUGCUGUUUUUCAGAUUGGCAUGUGUGAGGACGUUUCCUCAACAGAUAUUUUCCCCAAGCAAGUUUAGAAGCUAUCAGAGUUAUGUUCCCCCGCGAAGACGUCUGUGGAUAGUGCCUUUUAUUCCCCAGCAGAUCUAAGGAUUGCCUAUCCCCAACAGGCCCGUAUUUGCCGAUUUCCUCCCCGAGUGAGGCAGGUUCAUUGAAUUUAUCUCCAACAUUUAUCCUACCUGUGGACUGAAGGAUGUCCCCAGCGGAGUUUAUCUUUCCCCAGUAGCAGUACUAUUCUUCAACAUGAGUGUGAAGUCACUUUACCACUCCUCAAGCAGAGUUCCCCGCAGAGUAUUUCCCCAAGAGGAGUCUCCCCACAGAGUCAGAGCAUCUGAUCAUUUUGGCUCCCCAGCCGGAGUUUUUAUCAUUUUGCAUGUAGUAAUCAUUGCAUCCUCAAAACUGCGUAGCAUUUCCAUUCAAUAUGGAGCAUUACGCCAUAGAAAAAUUCAAACAUAUGCAUUCAUGUGUUAACAUCACCAGACCGUAUCCCCGGCAGAGGCGGAUCAUUUUUGUUCAACAUUUGCACCAAGACUGCUACAGUUGCUCUUAACAGCAUUCAGAGUUGUUUAUUCCCCACAGAGGUUUAUUUCCUCACCCGAUGGUGACAGAGGUUUAUUUCCUCACCCGAUGGUGACAGAGGUUUAUUUCCUCACCCGAUGGUGACAGAAAGUUUGUUUCUCUUCAGUGAGACCCCUAGCAAGUGGUCAACCUUGCCUUGACAUAUCUCAGAUGUCAUUCUUGUGAUACCAGUAAGUGUCAUGCCAGCACCCGCGUGUGUUUCUUUGUUUGGUGUCGGUAAACACCAUUGUUUCGGUGUCUGUAAACAUCGAAUUUCUCAUUCCCAGUCAUCAGUAAAUGUCUGGUCAUCAUUUUUGGUGUCGGUAAACACCAUUGUUUCGGUGUCUGUAAACAUCGAGUAUUUUCUCCAGUCAUCAGUAAAUGUCUGGUCAUCAUUUUUGGUGUCGGUAAACACCAUUGUUUCGGUGUCUGUAAACAUCGAGUAUUUUCUCCAGUCAUCAGUAAAUGUCUGGUCAUCAUUUUUGGUGUCGGUAAACACCAUUAUUUCGGUGUCUGUAAACAUCGAGUAUUUCCACCCAGUCAUCGGUAAAUGUCUGGUCAUUUUUGAUGUCGGUAAACAUCAUCCUUCGAUGUCGGUAAACAUCGAGUCUUUUCCUCAGUCAUCGGUAAAUGUCUGAUAAUCCCCGGCUAAAAAUCCCCAGUAGAGUCAUCUGUAAAUGUCCUAUCUGGUUUCCAGUUGCAAAUAUUUGUAUCUCCCCAAUAAAAUUCUCAUUCCCAGUCAUCGGUAAAUGUCUGGUCAUUUCUUUGGAUGUCGGUAAACAUCAUCUUUCGAUGUCGGUAAACAUCGAGUCUCAUCCCAGUCAUCUGUAAAUGUCUGGUCAAUAAAAUCAAAAUCCCCAGAAGUCGUCGGUAAACGUCUUGUCUGGUAUCACCACAAAGAUUCUGUUCCUCCCCAAGUGGAGAUGCCAUCGGUAAAUGGCCCAGUUUCCUUCGAUAUCGGUAAAUAUCGAAUUCCCAGUUGCAGCAGCCAUCGGUAAAUGGUCUUGCUAAGUUGACAUCGGUAAAUGUCCAGUUUCUUUGAAGAUAUCAUCGGUAAAUGGUCUUGCUUCCUUUCUACAUCAAAAUCUGUUUCCCAGCCGCCAUCGGUAAAUGGUCGUGCUGAAGUUGAUAUCGGUAAAUAUCAAGUUUUAACCAUCGGUAAAUGGUUUUGCUUUUCAGAAGUUUGUUUUCCCCAGCCGCCAUCGGUAAAUGGUCGUGCUGACGUUGAUAUCGGUAAAUAUCAAAUUUCCAGUUUCUAACCAUCGGUAAAUGGUUUUGCUUUUUCUGAAGCUGUCAUGCAGUUUGUCAUCGGUAAGUGACGUGGUUCUUUGGUAUCAUAUCCAGUCUGUGCAAAUUCUACGGUUCUUUGGUAUUCAAUCCCUGUUUACCCUGAAAGUCUGACAGCCGUUGCUAUCAUCCGUUCGGGUUCCCAGCUGAUUGAAUAGGGGCAGCUGUAGCACCUCAAAUUUGCACCUAUCAUUAUGCAUACAUUUUCAUAUUAGGUCAUAGCAUAUCAUGAUCCAUUGCAUAGCAUUUGCAUUGUCCCUCAGUUGCCUCAAGAGCAAGCAAUCAAGAAUUAGGUCAAACUAAUCUCCUGAUCAGUCAACCAAGCAAGCAAAGGAAUUUCUCAUUGAAUCAAGGCCUUGGGGUUUGUCCAACAAGUUCACAUGGCUUGGAGGUCUAUUUGAAGUAUUUUGGUCAAGGGUUGAGGGCUCAGAGGUCAGCAGUUCAUGCCCAGACAGUCAAAAGUCAAAGAAGGUCAACUGUCAGUCAAAGCAAUGGAUGGUGGUCAUUCUUGUGGAAUUAGGGCACCAUGGUCAAUAAUCAAGAGUUCAUACAACUUGGGACAUCAUUUGAAGUCAAGUCCUCAAGGAAUCAGGGUUUGGAAAUCAUCAGUCAAUGCACGAUCAGUCAGAAACCCUAAAAGUCAACUGUUGGUCAACUGUCCAUUUAAUCAGUGAUUGGAUGAUUGGAUUUGGUUUGUGGGAGUUCAUUCAUGUCCAAAUGGUCAUCAUACAUCAUGCCAAACACCAUCAUGGAAGAAUUUGAAGCCAGAUCAUGAAUUUCCCAAAGUAGGAACUGGGCCUGUAACUGAAACUUGCCAUAAAUGGAAAGUUUUGAUCCUCAAACUUACAUCAUGAUACAAGCCUCAAAUGAAUUUUUGCCCAACAUGAAAGUUGAAGAUCUUGUUCUCCCAUUUCCAAAAAGUCCUAGAACUCUCAAUUCCCAUGUGUGGUUGGCAAGUUAUGAUCAAAUCGAUUUCAGAAAAUCUUGAACUUCAAAGGGCCAUAUCUCCCAAACCGUUUGGCCAAAUUUGGUGGGGUUUUUUCCUACAAACCACAUUUUUCAUCCUCUUUCCAAAAAUAUAAAUUUCAUGACCUAAAACCUUACCAAUCAAAAUGGCAUUUUUGGACUUUUUUCAUUUAAAUUCAAAGUUUGACCAAGAGUUGACUUUUUGACUCAAACAUUUUUUCAGCAUUUGGCCAAUUGGGACAGCUUAUAAAUGUCAUUUAGAAGGUGUUUGCAAGGUCAAAUUAUGCAGAACAUGUGAAUCUUGUUUGGUUGCUUGAAUUGUAAGAAAAGUACCAUUGCACCAUACUUGUCCAUGCCUUGCCUUGUACCUCAAAAGGACAGCAUUAUGCAGCAACUUUUCUGUCAUGGUGAGCCUAUUUUGCAGCCUAAACCAACAACAGUAAAGGGCCAUGCUUAGUUGCUAAAAGUUGGGCAAAAGUACAUGUGUUUACCAUGCUUCCACAACCAUACUUGUACCAUGGCCAUGAUAGCUUUAAGGAUUUUCCUUUUUUGCAGUAGCAACACAGCAGGGACCAUUCCUUUCACUCAUCAAUAGAUUUUGAACCUUGGCCAUUCUUCACUAAUGCAUUGGUACACAAGCCAUAUUGGAUUUCCAUUUUGCUGUCAAAAACAUCUCUGUCAUAAAAGACCAAGGGAGCCUCACAAAUUAUUUUGGGCCAAAGCAAAUUGAUUGUGCACUCUCACUCUAAAAAACACACAUUGCAUGCCAUUUUCUGUCGACAAACAUAACAACCACACUGCAUACAACUCUCACUCAAAAGAUCCACUUCACCUUGGCCAUUGGGAAAGGAACUGUCAAGCAUCCAACAGUAGGGGCAUUACCAUGCUUGGUACUGCUCAUAGCAGACCAAGGCAAUAACUUGCUGGCACUAAUAGCAGCAAUUGGCAUCACACAAACCCCUUUGACAUUUCUCUUCAAAAACAAGGACCAGUACCAUGUCGUGUACUAUGCAGAAUUGAGGCCACUCUUCCUGUUGUGACAGUAGUGGCAAUAGGGGCAGCAUGGCACAAAAACCACUGAGCCAAGGCAAUUGUUAGGGACAUGCUGAUUUCAAGGAACUUUGCCUUGUCUUCACAAUCCUGCCACCAUACUGCAGCAGGCAAAAAGGAGACUUUUGGCAAAUUGCUCAAAACCAAAAAAAAACUGCUACAGCAGCACAAGACCAAACACCUUGGCAAUGACACCUGGCUGUGCAAUUCAGAGAGGACCAUACCACCAUACUGCAGCAGCAAUUGGCAUCAGAAAAAGCCACUUGGCCAAGGCAAAGAAAAAGGCAUGCUGAUUGAAACAAAAACACUUGGCAACAAAAGAACAAAAACUAACAUUGGGCAUCUGAUUUUUCUUCUAUCCAAAACCAUUAGCAGAAAAAAACAUUUUUUCACUCAUUCUAAAAAAGAUCUCAUCCUUGCCUUGCUUCAUGACACGACUUCCUUACCAUGUGCUGCAAGGAGAUGAAACCUAGCAGACCAACAAAAGGUCAACUGAUGCAAAAACAGGUUUGCUUGGCAUUUGGCAAGAUAGCAAGUGCUGUUUAAAAGUCACAAUAGCAGUUUCUAACAGCAGAAUUGAAAGAGAAAAACUGUCAAAAUUCAUGACCACAACAAGCAACAUAGCACUGCAGCAGAUUUUUUUUGAUUCACCUCACCUUGCUUGUGUAUUUUCUGCCAAAACCUCAUCCAUUCCAAACCCCUGCACCUACUCCCUCAUUUUUAACCUUGGCCUUGGCAUAUCACUCUUUCUGUCAAAAACAAGUGGACCAAAAAACCUAACUUGCUGGUAUUGCAUUCCUAUUUCUUCCUGUCCAACUCAGAACAUUGCCUUGCCAACCAUGACAGUUUGGUUCACCUCUAUUUUGCAUCACUUCUAAACUUUGCCAACAUAACUAAACCUAACCUGCCUUGCAUUUUCUAAAAGCUGUCCAAGCACAAGUGGACCAAACAUCAUCAAACCAACAUGACCUAACCUCAUUCAUACAGGCUCAUCCCACUUGCAUUAACCAACAAAAUCUAACCAAUUUCCUACAAUCUCUAAAACCACCUAACUGCGUUUUGGCCAUUUCUUCACAAACCUGUCCCAAAAACUCAAUGAGCAAAAAGCUUGGCCAUGCCUAGUUUCAUAUCCCAUUUGCAUUUACCAAAACCACCAACCAAACCAGAAAAUCUCAUUGAUACACAUACAUAUCCUUGGCCUUUUCUUCCAAAAAACUGCUAACAAACCAAUAGAACAAACUCACCAUUGCAAAAAUUCAUUUUCUACUCCAAAAUCCAAAUUUUCAAAAAUAUAUUUUCCCCAAGUCCCUUGCAAACCAUCCAUUCAAACACCUUCCAUAUAACAAGUAGAAGCUAUUGUAGGCAGAAAAUCCCAUCUGUAAUCAUUAAAUCAUCAUAUCCAAAUUUCAAGUCUUCACACUUGCAACUUGAAUUGGCUAGAACAGUUGAGGAGGUUUCAAGGCAAACUCUCAAAGACAUUACAUUCCUGGAGCAUCAAAGGAGCUAAAGGGAUCAUCUAGCAUCAUUAAAAGCACCUCUAACAUCACAUUCAACAUUGCCCUGUUCAGGUGCUUUAGUUGCUUAGUUCCUUGUGAACUUUUUGCUUUGCUUUGCUUGUAUAAGCAAUUUGCAUUGAGCAUCUCCCAUAUUAAAGUUGUUGGACGAAUACUUUCUCAAUAGGAUGAUUCGAAAACUUGGAAGAUAUGUGUAGCUAUGGAGGUUGUGGGUAUGUGAGCAACUCACAAGUUGAUGAUUAAUUAGAGUCUAAGAAAUUUAUGGAUGAACUAAAUUGUUUUUACAAUGGCACAUUCAAAGGAUUAUUAUUUUUAGCACAUUAUUGUUAAAUCACAUUAGUGAUUUGGAUUUAUUACAGCAUGAUUACAUUUUGAAUUUAUUUAAAUAAAUACAAUUUCGUACUUGA